Molecule: long non-coding RNA, 541 nt
Filed under: Lupinus angustifolius (narrow-leaved blue lupine)
Lineage: Eukaryota; Viridiplantae; Streptophyta; Magnoliopsida; Fabales; Fabaceae
Description: long non-coding RNA (LANG_LNC000701)
Source: RNAcentral
GGGGCCUUAUAAUUUCAAUUUCCUAUAUUGCAGGCAGUUAUUCCAUGCCUUGCUUGAAAGUAUACAAAUGCUAUUGCCUGCAACAAUUCAUGGAGAAUGCAGACUUUAAGUGACUCAAAUCAUAAACUAACUCAUUAAAUGUUGUACACUGCAACUCCAAUAUAGAUGCUUAAAAUAAUUAUAAGGAGAGCCGGAACCAAGUUGGUCAGCAAGGGGGUUUCAUGCUUGGUAGUUAGUUUUGGUCACAUGCCAUUAUAACUCUCGCAGGAACUUCUGUGACUCUGCGGAAGAAUACUUUGAAUCAUAUCCCUAGUCAUCUCCAUUGCGAGCUACGACUAACAAAGUACUCGUAAUCAGGAUGCUUGACCUGCAAACUCUGUAGUCAAUCAGCAGCAGCCUGCAAUAGAGUUUGCAUGCUUCGAUUCAGAGGCCCCAUCAGGAGAAAAAACUGAGCCGCUAUACUUGUAAGAAGCAAACCCAAAAAUGGGAAGAGAUAUGUUUAAGGAUCUAUCAACACCUUGGACCUUCCUGCCACUAGAAG